Molecule: long non-coding RNA, 591 nt
Filed under: Capsella grandiflora
Lineage: Eukaryota; Viridiplantae; Streptophyta; Magnoliopsida; Brassicales; Brassicaceae
Description: long non-coding RNA (CGRA_LNC000803)
Source: RNAcentral
UUUUGGUUCCUCUCCUUCGUCUUCAUGGUGGUGCUCUUGCUUCCUCUUUCCCUUUCAAGGUACACUGCUCUGUUUAUUUUGGAUCUAUCUCUUCUUGUUCCUCUUAAACUUUGGAAUUAAUCUCUGUCUGCAUAUGGUCUUGUUGUGUCUUAGCGUGACUUGAACUUUUAUCCAAUUUUACAAGGUUUGUUAUAUGUGGCGGUGCUGAGGCUUGAGACCUUGUGGCGGUUAAGGCUUUUGGUUCCUCUCCUUCGUCCUCAUGGUGGUGCUGCUGCUGCUUCCUCUUUACCUUCCAAGGUACACUGCUCUGUUUAUUAAACUAAUCUCUCUCAGUUCUAACGCUUCUUCUUCGUUCUUCCUUGCUCGAGAGAAAUCAAAAUUCUCUAUUUCUCACCACUUCUUCAUCUUCUAAACCCUAAACCAAAACUAAAUCAAUCUCCUCUGUUCGUACUCUUUGGAUUCUCUGAUUCAUCUUUGCUGAAAAAGCUUGUACCUUUAGCUUUCUCUCGUUGAUUUGUUGUUGUGACUUUUGAGAUAUGGUUCGAUGAUCUAGGCUGAGAAAGAUAUAUGAAGCAGAGAGAUCAAAUGGUG